RNAcentral lists this ribosomal RNA (628 nucleotides) under uncultured bacterium. RNAcentral describes it as "bacterial SSU rRNA". It matches the Rfam family "Bacterial small subunit ribosomal RNA", at positions 57 to 631 of the family's 1533-position model. The record is from RNAcentral.
GCAGUCGAACGGGAAUCUUCGGGUUCAAGUUUUCGGACAAGAACCUGUGGAGGAGAGUGGCGAAAGGGUGAGUAACGCGUGGGCAACCUGCCCUGAAGUUGGGGAUAACUACUCGAAAGGGUGGUUAAUACCGAAUGUGGUCUUCCGGCGCAUGUCGGGAUGACUGAAGGUGGGGAUUCCGGGCGCGCAAGCGCUUCGGGACCUGCCGCUUCAGGAGGGGCUCGCGUCCCAUCAGCUUGUUGGUGAGGUAACGGCCCACCAAGGCUUACGGGUAGCUGGUCUGAGAGGAUGGUCAGCCACACUGGGACUGAGACACUGCCCAGACUCCUACGGGAGGCUGCAGUCGAGGAUCAUUUGCAAUGCGCGAAAGCGUGACAAUGCGACGCUGCGUGGGGGAUGACGGCCUUCGGGUUGUAAACUCCUGUCAUGAGGGAAAAAUUGCCAUGGUGUUAAUACCACCAUGGCUUGAUGGUACCUCAAGAGGAAGCCACGGCUAACUCUGUGCCAGCAGCCGCGGUAAUACAGAGGUGGCGAGCGUUGUUCGGAUUUACUGGGCGUAAAGGGUGCGUAGGUGGUUUCGUAAGUCGGAUGUGAAAUCCCAUUGCUCAACGGUGGAACUGCAUUCGAA